GGCCCCGUAGCUCAGCUGGAUAGAGCGUCCCCCUCCUAGGGGAAGGUCGCCCGUUCGAAUCGGGCCGGGGUCACCA
RNAcentral lists this transfer RNA (76 nucleotides) under Xanthomonas hortorum pv. pelargonii. RNAcentral describes it as "tRNA-OTHER". It matches the Rfam family "tRNA". From Rfam's summary of the family: Transfer RNA (tRNA) molecules are approximately 80 nucleotides in length. Their secondary structure includes four short double-helical elements and three loops (D, anti-codon, and T loops). Further hydrogen bonds mediate the characteristic L-shaped molecular structure. tRNAs have two regions of fundamental functional importance: the anti-codon, which is responsible for specific mRNA codon recognition, and the 3' end, to which the tRNAs corresponding amino acid is attached (by aminoacyl-tRNA synthetases). tRNAs cope with the degeneracy of the genetic code in two manners: having more than one tRNA (with a specific anti-codon) for a particular amino acid; and 'wobble' base-pairing, i.e. permitting non-standard base-pairing at the 3rd anti-codon position. The record is from RNAcentral. Lineage: Bacteria; Pseudomonadati; Pseudomonadota; Gammaproteobacteria; Lysobacterales; Lysobacteraceae.